GAAUAUGUAAAGGGGCAAUCUGGCUGCGACAUCUAUCAACCCAUUGAUAACCGGGGUGGAUUCAGCUAAUCUGGGUGGCUAGGCAAAUGUCCCUCCUUCUUGCACGGCUCCAUGAAGCUGGGUGCUCUAUCAAAGAGGAUGAUGGGCUGGGCGUGGUGGGUCACGCCUAUAAUCCCAGCACUUUGAGAGGCCGAGGUGAAAGGACUGCCUGAGCUCACAGGUUCGAGACCAGCCUAGGUAACUUGGCGAGACCUCAUGUCUACAAAAAUAAAACAUUUUUUAAAAAGUA
This 289-nucleotide small nuclear RNA is filed under the name Carlito syrichta (Philippine tarsier). RNAcentral describes it as "7SK RNA (ENSTSYG00000026023.1)". It matches the Rfam family "7SK RNA". From Rfam's summary of the family: 7SK was discovered as an abundant small nuclear RNA in the mid-70s but a possible function has only recently been suggested. Lineage: Eukaryota; Metazoa; Chordata; Mammalia; Primates; Tarsiidae. The record is from RNAcentral.